RNAcentral lists this small RNA (106 nucleotides) under Marmota monax (woodchuck). Lineage: Eukaryota; Metazoa; Chordata; Mammalia; Rodentia; Sciuridae. The record is from RNAcentral.
ACCAGGCACAGUGGUGCAUGCCUAUAAUCCCAGUACUCAGGAGGCUGAGGCAGGAGGAUCACAAGUUUAAAGCCAGCCUGGGCAACUUAGUGAGACCCUGUCUCAA